RNAcentral lists this ribosomal RNA (890 nucleotides) under Acinetobacter sp. Its description in RNAcentral is "bacterial SSU rRNA". It matches the Rfam family "Bacterial small subunit ribosomal RNA", at positions 410 to 1291 of the family's 1533-position model. Lineage: Bacteria; Pseudomonadati; Pseudomonadota; Gammaproteobacteria; Moraxellales; Moraxellaceae. The record is from RNAcentral.
GAAGGCCUUAUGGUUGUAAAGCACUUUAAGCGAGGAGGAGGCUCUUUUGGUUAAUACCCAAGAUGAGUGGACGUUACUCGCAGAAUAAGCACCGGCUAACUCUGUGCCAGCAGCCGCGGUAAUACAGAGGGUGCAAGCGUUAAUCGGAUUUACUGGGCGUAAAGCGCGCGUAGGCGGCCAAUUAAGUCAAAUGUGAAAUCCCCGAGCUUAACUUGGGAAUUGCAUUCGAUACUGGUUGGCUAGAGUGUGGGAGAGGAUGGUAGAAUUCCAGGUGUAGCGGUGAAAUGCGUAGAGAUCUGGAGGAAUACCGAUGGCGAAGGCAGCCAUCUGGCCUAACACUGACGCUGAGGUGCGAAAGCAUGGGGAGCAAACAGGAUUAGAUACCCUGGUAGUCCAUGCCGUAAACGAUGUCUACUAGCCGUUGGGGCCUUUGAGGCUUUAGUGGCGCAGCUAACGCGAUAAGUAGACCGCCUGGGGAGUACGGUCGCAAGACUAAAACUCAAAUGAAUUGACGGGGGCCCGCACAAGCGGUGGAGCAUGUGGUUUAAUUCGAUGCAACGCGAAGAACCUUACCUGGCCUUGACAUAGUAGAAACUUUCCAGAGAUGGAUUGGUGCCUUCGGGAAUCUACAUACAGGUGCUGCAUGGCUGUCGUCAGCUCGUGUCGUGAGAUGUUGGGUUAAGUCCCGCAACGAGCGCAACCCUUUUCCUUACUUGCCAGCAUUUCGGAUGGGAACUUUAAGGAUACUGCCAGUGACAAACUGGAGGAAGGCGGGGACGACGUCAAGUCAUCAUGGCCCUUACGGCCAGGGCUACACACGUGCUACAAUGGUCGGUACAAAGGGUUGCUACCUAGCGAUAGGAUGCUAAUCUCAAAAAAGCCGAUCGUAG